UACAGAGGUCUCAAGCGUUGCUCGGAAUCACUGGGCGUAAAGGGCGCGUAGGCGGGGAGGUAAGUCGGGUGUGAAAUCCCUCGGCCCAACCGAGGAACUGCGCCCGAGACUGCUUCUCUUGAGUCCCGGAGAGGAAGAUGGAAUUCCCGGUGUAGCGGUGAAAUGUGUAGAGAUCGGGAGGAACACCGGUGGCGAAGGCGGUCUUCUGGACGGUGACUGACGCUGAGGCGCGAAAGCGUGGGGAGCAAACGGG
This 253-nucleotide ribosomal RNA is filed under the name uncultured bacterium. RNAcentral's name for it is "partial 16S ribosomal RNA". It matches the Rfam family "Bacterial small subunit ribosomal RNA", at positions 524 to 776 of the family's 1533-position model. The record is from RNAcentral.